AGUCUCUCGACCGAGUAUUUAUAAUGAGGGGAAACACUUGUGUCUCUGCAGAAAGUAUAAAAAAAGGAUCUGUGUCAAAAUUUUCAGAGUACAGCAAAUGCCCGCAUUUUGAUGCGCAUACUAAGUUCCCCCCAAGUUUCAGAAUACAAAUUAUUCUGAUUAAGUUUCAUCACCAGUCACGCUCUGAACUUUUACAACAUCCAUUUUUUUACAUCAGAUAUAUUCAAAGCAAAAGCAUGUUUAGUAAUUACUCCCUCC
Molecule: long non-coding RNA, 258 nt
Filed under: Setaria viridis
Lineage: Eukaryota; Viridiplantae; Streptophyta; Magnoliopsida; Poales; Poaceae
Description: long non-coding RNA (SVIR_LNC005950)
Source: RNAcentral